This is a non-coding RNA of Hoeflea sp. BAL378, 69 nucleotides long. NCBI's taxonomy places the organism in Bacteria, Pseudomonadati, Pseudomonadota, Alphaproteobacteria, Hyphomicrobiales, Rhizobiaceae. The record is from Rfam.
CAGGCAUGCUGGAGCCCCGCAGCGGCGCCUGGGUCUAUACCCGACACCGUAGUUAACUCCGGGGCUUAU